Molecule: ribosomal RNA, 245 nt
Filed under: uncultured Eubacteriales bacterium
Lineage: Bacteria; Bacillati; Bacillota; Clostridia; Eubacteriales
Description: uncultured Clostridiales bacterium partial 16S ribosomal RNA
Rfam family: Bacterial small subunit ribosomal RNA
Source: RNAcentral
CACGCUGUAAACGAUGAGUGCUAGGUGUCGGGGGUCAAACCUCGGUGCCGCCGUUAACACAUUAAGCACUCCGCCUGGGGAGUACGUUCGCAAGAAUGAAACUCAAAGGAAUUGACGGGGACCCGCACAAGCAGCGGAGCAUGUGGUUUAAUUCGAUGCAACGCGAAGAACCUUACCAGGGCUUGACAUCCCUCAGACUGGAUUAGAGAUAAUUCUUUCCCUUCUGGGACUGAGGAGACAGGUGG